GAUGAACGCUGGCGGCGUGCCUAAUACAUGCAAGUCGAGCGAACGGACGAGAAGCUUGCUUCUCUGAUGUUAGCGGCGGACGGGUGAGUAACACGUGUAUAACCUACUUAUAAGACUGGGAUAACUUCGGGAAACCGGAGCUAAUACCGGAUAAUCUUUUGAACCGCAUGGUUCAAAAGAGAAAGACGGUCUUGCUGUCUCUACUAGAUGGAUACGCGCUGCUUUAGCUAGUUGGUAAGGUAACGGCUUACCAAGGGUAGCAUGCAUAGCCGACGUGAGAGGGUGGUCGGCCACACUGGAGGGGGGACAGGGACCAGGCGCCUGCGAGAGGCAGCAGUAGGGAAUCGGCCGCAGUAGGCGGGAGCCUGACGCAGCGGGGCCGCGUGAGAGAUGGAGGUCUUCGGUGCGGAAAGCUGUGUUUCUGGGUGUAAACAGAUGUGGAAGUUGAUGUGCAGUGCGUGACGGUAACGGGUAAAGAAGCCACGGCUAACUACGUG
This 497-nucleotide ribosomal RNA is filed under the name uncultured bacterium. Its description in RNAcentral is "partial 16S ribosomal RNA". It matches the Rfam family "Bacterial small subunit ribosomal RNA", at positions 28 to 507 of the family's 1533-position model. The record is from RNAcentral.